UAAACAAAUUCCCUAUAGAAGAAACUUAGACAUGACAAGUAGAUGGUUGAUAUUGUGAUAUAUAUGUCUCACCUCCAAAAGUGUCAUCGUUCCAAACAGUGAAGCUUGAGUGUU
RNAcentral lists this small RNA (114 nucleotides) under Arabidopsis thaliana (thale cress). RNAcentral describes it as "ATSL107310". The record is from RNAcentral. Lineage: Eukaryota; Viridiplantae; Streptophyta; Magnoliopsida; Brassicales; Brassicaceae.